AUCCCAUGGUGAGGACAGGCGGCGACGUACUCCUGCAGACUCCCAAGCUUCUGGUAUGAAUUCAUCCUUCAUAUGCUGGAAGUUAGAAAUCCUCCCGCGAAGGGC
RNAcentral lists this small nucleolar RNA (105 nucleotides) under Leersia perrieri. Its description in RNAcentral is "Plant small nucleolar RNA R71". It matches the Rfam family "Plant small nucleolar RNA R71". Rfam says of the family: R71 is a member of the C/D box family of snoRNAs containing the C (UGAUGA) and D (CUGA) box motifs. Multiple nearly identical copies of this snoRNA have been identified in Arabidopsis, and it is thought to function as a 2'-O-ribose methylation guide for 18S ribosomal RNA. The record is from Rfam by way of RNAcentral. Lineage: Eukaryota; Viridiplantae; Streptophyta; Magnoliopsida; Poales; Poaceae.